Molecule: ribosomal RNA, 253 nt
Filed under: uncultured archaeon
Lineage: Archaea
Description: partial 16S ribosomal RNA
Rfam family: Archaeal small subunit ribosomal RNA
Source: RNAcentral
AGGGUGUAAACGCUGCAGACUUGGUGUUGGAAGUCCUUUGGGGGCAUUCAGUGCCGGAGAGAAGUUGUUAAGUCUGCUACUUGGGGAGUACGUCCGCAAGGAUGAAACUUAAAGGAAUUGGCGGGGGAGCACCGCAACGGGAGGAGCGUGCGGUUUAAUUGGAUUCAACACCGUAAACUCACCAGGGAAGACUGUUACAUGAAAGCCGAGAUGAAGACUCUGCUAGAUUUUCAGAGAGGUGGUGCAUGGCGUC